GUAAGGAAUAUUGGUCAAUGGGCGCAAGCCUGAACCAGCCAUGCCGCGUGCAGGAAGACGGCCCUAUGGGUUGUAAACUGCUUUUAUCAGGGAAUAAACCCCCGCUCGUGAGCGGGGCUGAAGGUACCUGAAGAAUAAGCAUCGGCUAACUCCGUGCCAGCAGCCGCGGUAAUACGGAGGAUGCAAGCGUUAUCCGGAUUCAUUGGGUUUAAAGGGUGCGCAGGCGGAUUGGUAAGUCAGGGGUGAAAUCCCACAGCUCAACUGUGGAACUGCCUUUGAUACUGUCAGUCUAGAGUAUAGUUGAAGUUGGCGGAAUGUGUCAUGUAGCGGUGAAAUGCUUAGAUAUGACACAGAACACCGAUCGCGAAGGCAGCUAGCUAAGCUAUAACUGACGCUCAUGCACGAAAGCGUGGGGAUCAAACAGGAUUAGAAACCCUUGUAGUCC
This 445-nucleotide ribosomal RNA is filed under the name uncultured bacterium. RNAcentral describes it as "partial 16S ribosomal RNA". It matches the Rfam family "Bacterial small subunit ribosomal RNA", at positions 354 to 796 of the family's 1533-position model. The record is from RNAcentral.